RNAcentral lists this ribosomal RNA (500 nucleotides) under uncultured Glomeromycotina. RNAcentral describes it as "partial small subunit ribosomal RNA". It matches the Rfam family "Eukaryotic small subunit ribosomal RNA", at positions 591 to 1092 of the family's 1831-position model. Lineage: Eukaryota; Fungi; Glomeromycota. The record is from RNAcentral.
CCAAUAGCGUAUAUUAAAGUUGUUGCAGUUAAAAAGCUCGUAGUUGAAUUUCGGGGUCAGUAGGUUGGUCGUGCCACCGGUACGUACUGGUCUCACUGAUUCCUCCUUCCUGAUGAGCUGUAAUGCCAUUAAUUUGGUGUUGCAGGGAAUCUGGACUGUUACUUUGAAAAAAUUAGAGUGUUUAAAGCAGGCUAACGCUUGAAUACAUUAGCAUGGAAUAAUGAAAUAGGACGUUCGAUCCUAUUUUGUUGGUUUCUAGGAUUGACGUAAUGAUUAAUAGGGAUAGUUGGGGGCAUUAGUAUUCAAUUGUCAGAGGUGAAAUUCUUGGAUUUAUUGAAGACUAACUACUGCGAAAGCAUUUGCCAAGGAUGUUUUCAUUAAUCAAGAACGAAAGUUAGGGGAUCGAAGACGAUCAGAUACCGUCGUAGUCUUAACCAUAAACUAUGCCGACUAGGGAUCGGAUGAUGUUAAUUUUUUAAUGACUCAUUCGGCGCCCUACG